CAAUUUUGGACAUGAUUAUUUUUAUCUUGUUUUUCUGUUAUUUCGGUUCUAAAUUCGAUUGUAUUAUCAGCUUGUUUUUCUCAGUGAGACAAAGAUGCACUUAUGGGAUCUAGCUGUACCCUUCGAAUAAUCUACUUUCUUGUUCUCUCCAGUUCUUUUUUGCUAUUUUCUUUCUCCCUUUUUCUGUCCUUGUUGGUAGCUUUGAGUUUGCAUUGCUCUUUCUCUCUAGUUUCUUUGUCUAAUUUUGAUAAUUCCGUUUUGCUUACGUCACUGUCUUGUUUGCUACCCCGUCUUCAACGCUCGAUGAUCCAUUCUGUCUCUGAAUUUCGUGAAUGGAGGUUGUAAAUUUAACUUUUUCCUUUGAUUCCAUUUUAUUUAGCUUAUGCUAAAUUUUUCUAUUUAUUACAAUAUGUAGUUGAUCAGAGACAGAUUUCAUUCAUCACAAGUUGUGAUAUUAUUAUUAUUUUCUUUAUUUUUUUUUAUUUCCUUUUUAAAUAUGUAAAUUUUCUUGUUUGUUAUUUAAAAAAAAAAAGAAAAGUAAUCAUGUCCGAAAAUUUAAUUGAGUAUUCAUUCUAGCUGGCCUAAGUUAUGGCAAUUUAUUUAUAUUUGUUGAAAACCUCAUUCAUCACAUAUGUAUCCAUAGUAAUUUCUACAAUUUCCGCUGUACAGCGGUCAUAGACUCAUAGACUCGUAGACUCGUAGACUCGUAGACUCGUAGUAUCACAGGAUGUCUUAGUUAUGGCCAUGGAAGCUGAAUCCUUGCUGACCAACUCAUCACAAGGAAACCAAUAUUUCCAGAAAAGAUCUAAAUUCGCCGUAAAAAGGAUACUUCAAGAACUUCUUGUGCAGUGAAAAAUUAAUAAGUGAAAAAUUUGAAUAAAGUGUACGGAGGCCUCCUCACUUCAAUACACCAGGUAUUUACGAAACAACCAAUAUUAAUUUAUGGAAAAUUCACAGGCAACUACUUCGUAAAAAUAAAUGGGACAGGAUCAUAAAUAAAUUUGUAAUUACUUGAUUUAAAUUUUGUUUAUUUUUUGGAAAUUCUAUUUAUUUGAUCUAUUAUGUAUAUUAAAUUGCAAACAUGAUUACAA
Molecule: long non-coding RNA, 1091 nt
Filed under: Nilaparvata lugens (brown planthopper)
Lineage: Eukaryota; Metazoa; Arthropoda; Insecta; Hemiptera; Delphacidae
Description: uncharacterized LOC120350157
Source: RNAcentral